AUUGAACGCUGGCGGCAGGCCUAACACAUGCAAGUCGAGCGGAUGCAGGGAGCUUGCUCCUGGAUUCAGCGGCGGACGGGUGAGUAAUGCCUAGGAAUCUGCCUGGUAGUGGGGGAUAACGUCCGGAAACGGGCGCUAAUACCGCAUACGUCCUGAGGGAGAAAGUAGGGGAUCUUCGGACCUCACGCUAUCAGAUGAGCCUAGGUCGGAUUAGCUAGUUGGUGGGGUAACGGCCUACCAAGGCGACGAUCCGUAACUGGUCUGAGAGGAUGAUCAGCCACACUGGAACUGAGACACGGUCCAGACUCCUACGGGAGGCAGCAGUGGGGAAUAUUGGACAAUGGGCGAAAGCCUGAUCCAGCCAUGCCGCGUGUGUGAAGAAGGUCUUCGGAUUGUAAAGCACUUUAAGUUGGGAGGAAGGGCAGUAAGUUAAUACCUUGCUGUUUUGACGUUACCAACAGAAUAAGCACCGGCUAACUUCGUG
RNAcentral lists this ribosomal RNA (484 nucleotides) under uncultured bacterium. RNAcentral's name for it is "partial 16S ribosomal RNA". It matches the Rfam family "Bacterial small subunit ribosomal RNA", at positions 30 to 507 of the family's 1533-position model. The record is from RNAcentral.